Molecule: ribosomal RNA, 465 nt
Filed under: marine bacterium SIMO IS-S73-243
Lineage: Bacteria; Pseudomonadati; Pseudomonadota; Gammaproteobacteria; Alteromonadales; Pseudoalteromonadaceae
Description: bacterial SSU rRNA
Rfam family: Bacterial small subunit ribosomal RNA
Source: RNAcentral
CAUUUCUAGCUUGCUAGAAGAUGACGAGCGGCGGACGGGUGAGUAAUGCUUGGGAAUAUGCCUUUUGGUGGGCGGACAACAGUUGUGAAACGACUGCUAAUACCGCAUAAUGUCUACGGACCAAAGUGGGGGACCUUCGGGCCUCACGCCAAAAGAUUAGCCCAAGUGGGAUUAGCUAGUUGGUAAGGUAAUGGCUUACCAAGGCAACGAUCCCUAGCUGGUUUGAGAGGAUGAUCAGCCACACUGGGACUGAGACACGGCCCAGACUCCUACGGGAGGCAGCAGUGGGGAAUAUUGCACNAUGGGCGCAAGCCUGAUGUCAGCCAUGCCGCGUGUGUGAAGAAGGCCUUCGGGUUGUAAAGCACUUUCAGUAAGGAGGAAAGGUUAAGUUUUAAUAGAGCUUAUCUGUGACGUUACUUACAGAAGAAGCACCGGCUAACUCCGUGCCAGCAGCCGCGGUAAUAC